This 429-nucleotide ribosomal RNA is filed under the name Gemmatimonadota bacterium. RNAcentral's name for it is "Gemmatimonadetes bacterium partial 16S ribosomal RNA". It matches the Rfam family "Bacterial small subunit ribosomal RNA", at positions 355 to 776 of the family's 1533-position model. Lineage: Bacteria; Pseudomonadati; Gemmatimonadota. The record is from RNAcentral.
UAGGGAAUCUUCGGCAAUGGACGAAAGUCUGACCGAGCAACGCCGCGUGAGUGAAGAAGGUUUUCGGAUCGUAAAACUCUGUUGUUAGAGAAGAACAAGGACGUUAGUAACUGAACGUCCCCUGACGGUAUCUAACCAGAAAGCCACGGCUAACUACGUGCCAGCAGCCGCGGUAAUACGUAGGUGGCAAGCGUUGUCCGGAUUUAUUGGGCGUAAAGCGAGCGCAGGCGGUUUCUUAAGUCGGAUGUGAAAGCCCCCGGCUCAACCGGGGAGGGUCAUUGGAAACUGGGAGACUUGAGUGCAGAAGAGGAGAGUGGAAGUCCAUGUGUAGCGGUGAAAUGCGUAGAUAUAUGGAGGAACACCAGUGGCGAAGGCGGCUCUCUGGUCUGUAACUGACGCUGAGGCUCGAAAGCGUGGGGAGCAAACAGG